GACGAACGCUGGCGGCGUGCCUAAUACAUGCAAGUUGAGCGCUGAAGGUUGGUACUUGUACCAACUGGAUGAGCAGCGAACGGGUGAGUAACGCGUGGGGAAUCUGCCUUUGAGCGGGGGACAACAUUUGGAAACGAAUGCUAAUACCGCAUAAAAACUUUAAACACAAGUUUUAAGUUUGAAAGAUGCAAUUGCAUCACUCAAAGAUGAUCCCGCGUUGUAUUAGCUAGUUGGUGAGGUAAAGGCUCACCAAGGCGAUGAUACAUAGCCGACCUGAGGGGGUGAUCGGCCACAUUGGGACUGAGACACGGCCCAAACUCCUACGGGAGGCAGCAGUAGGGAAUCUUCGGCAAUGGACGAAAGUCUGACCGAGCAACGCCGCGUGAGUGAAGAAGGUUUUCGGAUCGUAAAACUCUGUUGGUAGAGAAGAACGUUGGUGAGAGUGGAAAGCUCAUCAAGUGACGGUAACUACCCAGAAAGGGGCGGCUAACUACGUG
RNAcentral lists this ribosomal RNA (497 nucleotides) under uncultured bacterium. RNAcentral's name for it is "partial 16S ribosomal RNA". It matches the Rfam family "Bacterial small subunit ribosomal RNA", at positions 28 to 507 of the family's 1533-position model. The record is from RNAcentral.